AAACAUGCCUUGAGGUGGGGGACAACAGUUGGAAACGACUGCUAAUACCGCAUAAUGUCUACGGACCAAAGGGGGCUUCGGCUCUCGCCUUUAGAUUGGCCCAAGUGGGAUUAGCUAGUUGGUGAGGUAAUGGCUCACCAAGGCGACGAUCCCUAGCUGGUUUGAGAGGAUGAUCAGCCACACUGGGACUGAGACACGGCCCAGACUCCUACGGGAGGCAGCAGUGGGGAAUAUUGCACAAUGGGCGCAAGCCUGAUGCAGCCAUGCCGCGUGUGUGAAGAAGGCCUUCGGGUUGUAAAGCACUUUCAGUCAGGAGGAAAGGGUGGUGGUUAAUACCCAUCAUGUGUGACGUUACUGACAGAAGAAGCACCGG
Molecule: ribosomal RNA, 373 nt
Filed under: uncultured Gammaproteobacteria bacterium
Lineage: Bacteria; Pseudomonadati; Pseudomonadota; Gammaproteobacteria
Description: bacterial SSU rRNA
Rfam family: Bacterial small subunit ribosomal RNA
Source: RNAcentral